RNAcentral lists this long non-coding RNA (27282 nucleotides) under Daucus carota (carrot). RNAcentral describes it as "long non-coding RNA (DCAR_LNC005279)". The record is from RNAcentral. Lineage: Eukaryota; Viridiplantae; Streptophyta; Magnoliopsida; Apiales; Apiaceae.
UUUUUUUUUUUUUUGAGCAAACAUUAUCCUUAUGUUGGUUGUGAUUUUAAAAUCUUUACGGAUACUAUUAAUUUAUUUACCACCUAUCCACAUUUGAAUUUUACUCUUAAAACCAAUAUCUCUAACACUCAACCGCUGGAUUUGCAUUAAUGAAAUUAAUACUACAACACCACCCUUUGUAUCUGUAAUGUUAUAUAAGGUGAAAUGAAACUUGGCAUCAAAUACUAAAAACUAUUCAAGAACAAGUGAAAUAAAGUGCAGUGUGUGUUUAUAAAUAAAAUUGAAUUAAGGGGUUUCAGUUGUUGAUCAUUUCGAUUUGUGAACAUGGGUAACUCUUUUUCGAAAUCGACAGAUGAGGCUACUUCUAAUGUCAAGUUGGUGGUCACAAAAAAGAGGGUAAAAUACAUAGUUAGUAAUUUGAAUUUAUGAAAGACGUUUGAUAUCUUAAAAAAAAUUUGAAUUUUUUUCAAAUAUAAAAUUUUUUAUGAUAAAAUUUGAAGUACAUACCGUUACUUUAUUAUUGUGUUGUUUAAUUUUCGGAUUUGCGAUUUGAUUAAAGUGAAGGGUGAUUUGUGUAUUCAGGGAAGUACAUUAGCUGAAUUGAAGCAGGUCAAGCUCGAUGUUCGUCGUCGCCAAUGGCUUUCACAAGGUAUGUUAUAAAUUUCCCUUUCUUUUCGACAUCUGUGUUUAUGUGUUUGUACUCAUGAUUUUUCGGGUCCAGGAGAUAUUUCAUCCGUUUCAUUUUAAUUGAUGUUUAAUUUUUUAUCAUUUAUAUUAAUGUAUAAAAUAAUGUAUUUUUUAUUAUAAAACAAUAGUCGUGACUUUUUGCGCACAAAAACAUAUUUUUAUAUCUUAUUUUUCGAAAUUUUUUUUCCGAAUAAAAAAAAGAUGUUAGAUUUUUAUUUUAAAAAAAUUGAUAAAUAAUAUGGUUUUUUACCCCUCAAUUAUGUGUAAAAAGUCAAAGCGAUUAUUAUUUUAGAAUAGAGUGAGUAAUAGCUACACUUAACACAAAAAUUCAAUUUUUAUAUUAAAUUUUAAAUUUGAAAUUUUUACUUGAUAUAAAUUUUUAAAAAACUAAUUAUAUUUUUUGUCAAAAAAAUAAUAAUUAUAUUUAAAUAUUUUUUUAACAAAACACGUACAUGUAAAAAUUUAAAAGAGAUAACAUGGUACAGAGGGGGGAUUUUUUAUUUAUUUUUUUAUAAAGGGACAUAGGGAUUUCUUUUACUAAUGGCCUGGGGAGAAUCUUUGAAUAGGGUUUGAGUGAUCUGUUAUGUUAAUAUUUUUUAUACUUAUGUAAUCUUGUUUUGUUCUAAUUUUUUUUAGUACUUCGUUUAUGCAGGGAAGAAUGGGGGGUGCAAGGAGGAACCGAAAGGAGCUGCAGAGAUUCAUGCGCAAAAUGGGGAGGAUACAAGGAGCUUGAAGGUUGCUCCUACAGAUGGAGAGAAAAUUGGUUCCAUGCAUGGCAAUAGCUCGGGUUCAUCCUCGAAAGAUCCAAGCAGCAGUGUUACUGGAAGUGCUGUUGAAAGCAACUGCUCUGAAACUAAUUUUAGUGAAAGUAGCAGGAGUUGUAGCAACGGCACGUCUAAUUCAAAAAACAUCAGUGAAGUUCAGGAGGAUGGUGGUUGUGUGGAUGACUGGGAAGUUUUGGCUGAUGAAUUGGCAGCUACAGAUGACAAGGUGGAGCGGUGUGACCCAAAAUCUGAAUCAUUGCUUGAGAAGAGAAGGGUUGUCAAAUUGGAUCAUUUGCCUGAGGUGGUGAAGCUACCAAUUUCAAUUUCCCCCAUGGACGUUUUGAAGCCAAAGAUAGAGAACCGUGAUGAAAGUUCUCAAUCAUUGGUGGAAAAUAACAAUGUUUCCCCACUAAACCAUCAGGCUGAAGUGGUGAAACAAUCAACUGCCAUCGUAGAUGGUUUCAAGCCAAAGCCAAAAUUUGGCGAGGAAUGGAGGGGAUGUAAUGCUUUUCAAUCAAAGCCGAAGCCAGGAUUCGGCCAGGCAUGGAAGCAAAGGCCAGAAAAGCCUGACCCAAAAUGUAAGUCAUCGGUGGAAGAUAUAUCUGUUGCCCAAUCGGAUCAUCUGCCUAAAGUGGUAAAAGAAGCAUCUGCUGCCAUGGACUGCAGGAAGGCAAAGCCAGGAAAGGGCUUGGCAUGGAGGAACAAUGAUACUUUUCGCCCUAAAAGCCUGCCUAAUCCACGAAAGAAGCAUACUUUCCCUGUUAAAGAGGAUAGGCAUCAUGGUCGUGGUGGCACAAAAUCAGGCAAUAAGAAUAUUGCAUCGGAUCCAACACCAUGUCCCAUAUGCUCUGAGGAUAUGGAUAGCACUGAUUUAAGCUUCCUUCCUUGUUCAUGCGGGUUUCAGCUUUGCCUCUUCUGCCACAAAAGGAUUCUUGAGCAGCACUGUGGUCGCUGUCCAGGGUGCAGGGAGCCUUAUGAUAACAAUGCUGUCAAGUGGGAAGAAAGUUCAGAUAAGCUUGGAGAUUGCUCAACUCUCCGCCUGGCUCGUUCUUGUUAACAAGGUUUUAGUAAAGUUUAUUGCAUCUUUUCUUAUGGAUAUUGGGGACUCUUUCUGUACACCGUUUAAUGUUUACUUGUGUUUUAGCCAUAUAUCUGUUUACUAAGUUGAAUAUUGUAGCAUGAGAUGGUUAGGCUUCCUUUAUUUCAGGUAGCCUGUAUGUAGGGUGCUCGUGCUGAUUUAAAUGAAAUGUUUGUAAGUGUUUGAUCCAUACAUGAAUGUAAGAACUCAGACAGAUAAUUAUAUAUAUUGCUUGAAACCUUUGGAUAUAUAUUCAAUCGCCUGCAAUCUCAUUUGCAUAGUAGACAAGUUUGGAAUUUUGUUGAAGUUGCUUUAUGUAGGUGCUGUUAAGUGGCUCAGAAUCCGUCACUGCCAUUUGUAGGUAUGUGGCCUCGGAAUGGAAACAUCAGUGAACAUUAUGUACUGUAAUGGGUUCAUUAGAUUAUGUUUUAUACCUGCAGGAUAUACAUUGAACAUGUUAACUCGAUUCAAAGAUCAGUAGCAUCAUUCAGAUCUUAAGGGCCACUUGCUAACAAAGAAAAAGAAUCAUCAAUGUAUAGUAACUCAGGUUACCAGAUGCAAGAACGCGAAAGUAAAUCUAGGUCAGACUGUCUGUUUUAACAUUUUAAAGAUGGAGUUCCCAAAAUGCUUAGUUACCUGUUUCAUGUUUAGGGUAAAUCAGUCUGGGAUAUAGCUUCUAGGGCAGAAAGAUCUAUCGUUCUAAUGCAUUAUAUUCUGUCGACAAGUCUUUCCAUUUGAGGCAAAAACGCGUUACAUGUUCAGUGAUUUUGAUCAGAAUUUUGUGAAACCUCUAGUUCAAUAAACGCGUUUGCAUAAUUAGAAACAAAGAGAACAUACAUAUGAAAUUUUAUCGUUGAUCUAGCUCUGUAAGGGGGUAGGAAGUAGGAAUUUUGCUAAUUGCUCAUAUACUGAGCAAGGCAAGAUGUUGAUCUAUAUUGGUCAGGGAGCGUUUUCCACCACUCAGCAACUGUGGAUCCAUGGGAAAAUACAUGUUUGCACAACUUCCCGUCGUCUUGCCAUAUCUGUAAUGCUUUCUCUAGAGGCUCAAGCUUCUCCUUUAUGUCUUCAAAUUUCUCAUUUCGAAGCUCCUCCACCUCAGCCCAGAAACUAGAGCUGGAGAUCGGUCUGAAUUCUGUCUUGGAAGCAUGUUCAGACCAUCUCUGGGUGAAUCUGUAGCGUCUUGGUCUACCGUUUCUCAUGUAUGGACCACAGUCAUCAUUCUUAAAGUGUCUGUAGUAGUUGGCAAUAUCUAUUGGUUCAACAAGCUCCCGAAAUUCUGUUCCUAGCUUUAUCCAGUCUUGGCGGCCCUCAAAUCCAUCUGGAAGUUCAUAAUUCUGCAACAAGUCCAUAAUCUCAUCCCACAUGCCCGAUAGCUCAAUCCUCUUGAUGUUGGCCUUAAAGUCGAUUUUGCUGUCUUUCUGAUGUUUAAAGGCAUCAUAGUAGUUCAUGUUGCGCCCUUCACAAUUAAUCUGGUAUGCUUGUAUUUCAUUCAAUGCCUUUGCAAUGAUGACCUCAUACUUUUCAAUAUGGCUUUGAUUUCUCUUCUUCUGAUCCUCGAAUUCACCAGCAGCCCGAAGGCAUAGCCUGGCUCUUGCACUCUGGUACAUCAGAAAUACUCAAAAGUUAGUACUAAGCUUAUCUAGCCAUGCUCAGAAGAAAGAAAAGGCUAAAAAUCAAGAUUUUCUUGAUGAAAUCAAUAAUACUAAUAAUCAUGACAUUAGGAAUCGAAGAAAUUAGGCAUACCAGGCCAAGGUCAUUCAGGGCCACGUCUGUUGAAUCCUCGUUUAAGGUACUGCCAACGGAGUCUAGGGGAAGAUUCUGUAGGUGGUUCAAGCAGAUUACUUUUUUCAUUGCCAAGCUUUUUUGCAGUUCUUCUUCAUAACACAUAUGUUCAUGUAAGCUUUUCAAAGCAAUUUCCCCCUCUUCGGCUUCACUAUCUACCUGAGAACUAUAGAAUAACAUCUGCAAGACCGCGUCUGAAUUUUCAACAACCACCAAUUUCCCAUUCCCUGUGCAAAAUACAUAUUUUCCGAAGGGCCUGUAAGGGCUUGAUUCAACAUAAGUAGAUAAAGAUUCUAAUAGCGUGUUUGGGCAUCCCAUGAGGCCGCUUGCAGAACAGCUUGCAACAGAUGAAGCAUUUCUCAUGACUUCCUUAUAAAGAACCUGAGGUUGCAGUAACUGAUUUUGAGAACUUGCAGUUCUGUAAUUCUUGAAGAAAUUGAGAGCUUUCUGCAAUUCUCCUUCAAUACGCGUGACAGGAGCAAGCAUUAUUCGCGGGACAAUGUCAUGCUUCAUUACAAAAUGUGUGAAGUAUCUUGACCAGUCCUCUCGUCUGAUAGCAUGUCCAAAAAUCUUGUCACCAGCAAGCGGAGAUCCAAAAGUUAGACAAUGAAACGGAAUUCGUUCACCUACUGUGUGAUUAGUAUUUUCCAGGAACCAAAGGGUUGCAAAGAUAGCUACCGCGCCUCCUGAGGAGUGCCCUGCAAAAACAAUUUGUCUCCCCUUCUUAAGAUCUUUGUCCACCUGAAAUUUAAGUUAUUUAGUGUUAUGUUCGUUUAGAACUCGCUAGUUGGAAGAUUUUGAGGCCAGAAACAACUGAAUAAAUGAAUCGUAAAUGAUUUUGUUGAGAACCAGUUCAUCUAAAACCUUAAGGUAUUAGAGGAAGAUUCAAAUGGAUCUUAUGCUACUCCCUCUGUCCCGGUCAAUUGUAUACGUUUCUUUUUCACUGCUCGACACGCUUUUUAAGACACUUAUAAAAUAUAGUUCUACAACUUAUUUUUAAGAUUUUCUUUUUUUUGUAUAAAAGUAUAAAUGUUAUACUUUUAUACAGAAAAAGAAAAUUUUAAAAAUAAUUUACAGAACUAUACUAUAUUGAAGCAUUAAAGUCCGUGCCGCGCCCCCGUCCCCCAAUGUAUACUAUUGACUGGGACGGAGGGAGUAUAUUUCAACACUCCUCCUCACUUGAAAUCUCAUUUUUUGGAUUGAAGAGUGGAUCACGGGCGGCGGGCGCCCGUCUUUGGGACAAUUAAUACCUUGGUGUUCUAAUACCAUGUUGAAAAUCAGCUCAUCUUAAACCUUAAAGUGUUAAAGGAAGGUCCCAAACGGAUCUUAUGCUAUAUUUCAACAGACCUUAGCUACGAAGAAUCGUAUAUGAAUAAUUAAAAUGUGUGCUGGAAUAAGUUCAUUGUUACCUCAAUUUUGAGUGAUUUGUGGAGACUCUUGUAUUUUUCAGCGAAUGCUGCAUUCACCAGGGCAGUCUCAUCAGGGCCGAUACUUCUCAUAGACCGGAACAUUUUAAGAUCAAUUUCUUCUUCUCCGAAAGACUUUUGCUUGAAGAAUUCAUUUACAGACCAUGAUCCAGCAAAUGCAAACACAACAUCCGUUGAUCCUUGAAUUUUGAUACGACGAUAAUUUUUUCCGGACUUGUGAGCUUUCAUGGAUGCAGAACAGGCUCCAUUGAUGAGAUCAUUUGACAUGGCUAUUGCAUUGAUCAUGUUUUCCUCCAUUUUAGUAUAAUGCUCCUUUCUUUUGCAAUUCUGAUGAUGAUGUAUUAGUGGAUUUAUGCAUGUAGUUGGCUAAUUCUUUGUUACUAAAUCACCCUUGCUGUGACUUGUGAGCCAUUGGUCUGUGUUGGUGCAUAGAGCAGCGGAACCAGAAAUUGAAAUGACCGAGACCGAAGUCUAAAAUAAUAAUUCUUUAUACUGAUUAUUUGAAGUCAACUAGGGCUUAUAUGAAAUUUUUUUACUAAUUCUUAAGAAAAAAAUAUGACUAAAUUAAAAAAAUUUAUUGAUUUUUGUGAAUCAGCCGAGACCUCUUGAUUCUACCCUUGGGUUCAUAUGGUCAUUGCACAAGUCUUCUCAGACUUGGACAUACUGUCCGUUCAGGAAACUGGGAAGAAGAUACCAUACAUCUUCUUGUUUACUUUCUGAGUCAUUAUUCCACGUUUAUUUAUUGGCCUCUUGUCAACUUGCCCUUUGUUUUACAUUCUUCAGUGUACUUUACUCUAUUUCCUCAAUUCUUUAGUAAAGGAUAAUCUGUGCUUGUCUCCAUGAAAGUCCUUCUUUCGUAUUCAAUGGUUGGUAGGAUAUUUUUUUACACGCUUAGACACCUUGGACAUUAUUUAGCAAUGAAGCUCUUCAGAAAAGUCUGAAUUCCACUUUCACAUUCACCGUCAAUAUUGUUGUUCAUCAAGAAACUCAGUCAGCUGGACUCUGUUUAUUAACAAACACUAGUUUUAAAUUCGUGCCAAGCACGUUUGGGUAUAUAAUUAGAAAUUUAUUAUUUAUAAUUUAAAUUUUAAUAUAAUUUUAUCACUGUUUUAAUAUUAAUGAGUUAAAAUUUGAUUAAAAUAUAUUAACUGACUGAUUAUAUCUAUUCUGAAAAUUCAACUUUAAGAAUAUUUUUUAUAUUAUAAAUCGGUAUAAUAAAUAAUUAACAUUUUUAUUAUCUAUCUAAAAAUAUUUUCCUAUUUUUUGAUUAAAUUUAAAUCAUAUUUUUUAUUUGAUAUGUAAAAAAAUAUUAUUUAUCAUGUAUUAGCUUCGUAUUUGUCUUGGAUUAGACAACAUUAGAGUUACAAAUGAUUACAUGAUGACCAGUGUUUAUCUUAAAAUAGAGUUAAAGAAAGUUAAGAACAUAUAGUAUAUCUUUCAUUAUUUAUAUUUGUUUUUUAAGAGAUAACUGUGCAAAACACGUGCGCGUAUAUAAUUCAAUAUAUUUAUAAUUUAGUUUUUUACGUCAUCAUAAUUUAUAUAAAAAAUUAUAAUGUAUUGAAAUUCAUGUUGGUCUAUCUCUCGUUGUUUAUAUUUGUUUUUUUAAAAAAUAAAUCGUGCGAAGCACGUAUGAAUAUAUAAUUCCAAAAUUUAUAUUUUAUGAUUUAAUUUUUAACGUCAUUAUAUUAUUUAUAUUUAAAUUUUUUUGAUUUAAUUUUUAACAUCAUUAUAUUGUUUAUAUAAAAAAAUUACUAUGUAUUGAAAAUUUGAUUAAGUAUUAUUAACAAAUUUAUUAUAUUUUCUUGUAUAGAUCUAACUUUUAUAAAUGAGUAGCAGAAAUAAUAUAUUUUUUAGUAUCUAUUUAUUUAUAAGUAUGUUUUUAAUAUCAAUAUAUUUUAUCGAUAGUAACUUUAUUUUUUUCCCUCUUUUAACUAAUUAUAAAUUAUGUUUUUUAUUUUUCUUUAUAAGAAAAGAAUAUUAUUUAUCUAGUAACUUCAUAUUUAUUUCGGAGUAUAGAGGAGCAAUAUAGAUAUAUUUUAGAAUGCUGAUAUAGAAGAUAUCAUGUGUAACUGUGUAGUAUACAAACACAUAAUAGGUUUACGUGUUAUCAUAUAUAGAGGAUGGUUUACGUGUUAUCAUAUAUAGAUGAUGAUCAUUCUUGUUUUUUUGUAACCUAGCCCUCAGCUUCUGUUUAUAUAUAAGUAUAUUGAUUAAUUGUAUACACUAUAUUCAACCCGUUUACAGUUUAUACAAACUUUAACCUGACGGUAUGUAUGAAUCCAUCAGGGUUCCCAUACUCAGGGCAUCUGAGUAUCCUGUGUGGAAAGUGAAAAUGGCUACACUUCUGGAAGCUAUUGAUCCUGAAUACUUGGAUAGAAUUUAUGAUGGUCCAUACAUGCCAACCAAGCUGUCUGCUGCGGUGGAAGAUCAACCACAAAAAUUGAUUCCCAAGGAAAAGAAGGAUUAUACUCCAGAAGAUCUCUCCUCUAUGGGUAAGGAUGCCAAGGUAAAACUUUUGUUACAUAGUGCUCUUGAUAAUGAUAUGUCCAAUAGAGUCAUUGGUUGCAAGACUGCUAAGGAGAUAUGGGAUGCUUUGGAGAUAAGAUGGCAAGGAACCAAAGCUAUUAGGAAGACAAUACUCACGCAUGAGUAUGAGGACUUUGCCUCAAAGUCUGAUGAGUCAUUAAGUGAUUUAUAUGACAGAUUUGUGAUAUUGCUCAAUGAUCUGUCAUUGGUGGAUAAGGAAUAUGAUCUUGAAGAUUCAAAUAUGAAAUUCCUAUUAGCACUUCCUGAGAAGUGGAAUCUGAAAGUCACAACCAUAAUAGGUAACUAUGAACUUGAAGAUAUGUCUCUUGACGAAAUUCAUGCAAUGCUCAAGACUCAUGAACCUGAGAUGGAACAAAGAAGCAAGAGACAUGGAGGAAAAUCUUCGCAUUCUUUGUGUAAAGUUAAUAAUGGAAAAAGAGGAAUUUGAUGUAUCCGAUAUUCAGAUAUAUGUCGUUCUGGUAGCAUUAACAGCAGACACUUUAUCCUGCAGUUAGUUGUUUCAAACAAACUUAAUUCAGGAAUUAAAUAAAAACGGCUUUCUUGUUAUCUUUGUCAGGCUCCAAUUAGUUUUAGAUGGCUUCUUCUAUUUAUAGAUCUUACUGCAACUUGGGAGCAUUUCUGUUCUUGUUUCUUCUGUUCAGUUUCCCUUGUUUUUCCGCGGUUUUUUAUGUAAUAGUGAUCCAUGCACCCUCCUCUUCAAAUGUUUAGCAUAUAGCUCUUUAUAGAAAUAUUUAGUGCUUACUAGUCUUUGUGAACAACCCUAACUGCCUAAUUCUGACAAAAUAUAAUUGAAAUCAGACCAUUCAUUGCUAAACUGCUUUGUGUUUUGUCGUAGAAUCUUCAAAUAACAAACGAAGAUUGUGAUCAUACAGGAAAGAAUACAGCACAGAAGGAUAAAUGAACAAGUACAGGGGGAAAAAAGAAACGAAAGCAAAACCUGAGUCUCACUUGCGUUUGUUCAUACAGUCAGCAAGGCAUGAUGCUGAUCUAUGAUGUUCAGGGAGUGUUUUCCACCACUCAGCAAAGGUAGAGCCAGCAGAAAAUUCAUGGUCGCCUAUUUUUUUCUUGUCAUGCCAGUCUUUUAUGUCUUUCUCUAGAGUAUCAAGCUUUUGCUUUAUGUCUUCAUACCUCCCAUUUCGAAGCUCCUCCACCUCAGCCCAGAAGCACGAGCUCGAGCUUGGCCUGAAUUCUGUCCUGGACUCAUGCUCAGACCAUCUCUGAGUGUAUUUGUAGCGCCUCGGCCUCCCUUUUGCCAUGUAGGGGCCGGUGUCAUCAUUCUUCAAGUGUCUAUAGUAGUUGGCAAUAUCUAGGGGUUCAACAUGUAGCCGAAAGUCGGUUCCUAGGUUUAUCCACUUUUUGCUGACCUCAAAUUCAUCUGGAAGUUCAGAUCUCUUCAGCAACUCAAUAAUCUCAUCCCAUAUGCCUGCUAGCUCAAUCCUCUUAACAUUGGCCUUAAAAUCCUCAGGGUUGUUCUGACGUUUGAAGGCAUCGUAGAAAUUCAUUUCUCUCCCUUCACAUUUAAUCUUGUAUUCUUUUAUAUCAGUUAAAGCCUUUUCAAUGGCGGCCUCAUUACUCUCAAUCUUGUCUUGAUUUCUUUUCUUUUGCUCCUCUAGUUCGCCAGCAGCCCGAAGACAUAGCCUGGCUCUGGUGCUCUGCAAGUUUUUAAUUACUCUUAAAUAUCUUCUUCAGAAAUCAAAUUAAUAACACAGAAAAUAUGGAACUAGGAGUUGAAGAAUAACACAUACCAGGCCGAGAUCAUUCAGAGCAAUGUCCGCGGUGGAGUCCUCAUCCAAGCUAUUGCCAGACGACAGUGGAAGAUUUUGCAGGUGAUUUAAGUAAAUUAUGUUUCUCAUUUCCAAGCUUUCUUUCAGUUCCGUUCCAUAAGACAUAUGUUCAUGUAAGCUUUUCCAAGCAAUCCCCACAUCUUCGGCUUCACUAUCCAACUGUGAACUAUAGAAUAACAUCUGCAGAACAGCUUCUGAAUCCUCGACAACCACCAAUUUCCCAUUCCCAGUGCAAAAGACAUAUCUGCCAAAGGGCCUGUAAGGGCUAAUUUUAAUAAAAGUAGAGAAAGUUUCGAGUAGCAAAUUUGGACAGCCCAUGAGGACACUAGCAGCAUAGCUUGCCACAGAUGACGCGUUUUUCAUCACUUUCCUGUAAAGGCCUUGAGCCUGGACUGAUUCAGUCUGAGAAAUCGUCGUUUUACUAUUUUUCAAGACAUUGAGAACUUUCUGCAGUUCUUCUUCCAUAUGCGAGACAGGAGCAAGCAUAAUCCGUGGAACAAUGUCAUACUUCAUGACAAAAUGUGUGAAGUUCCUCGACCAGUUCUCUCGUCUAAUAGCGUGCCCAAAAAUCUUGUCACCAAUGAGUGGGGAUCCGAAUGUCAGACAACGAAAUGGAAUUUGAUUAUUUCCUAAUUUUGGAGUAUUCUCCAAAAACCAAAGGGUUGCCAAAAUAGCUGUCGGACCCCCUGACGAGUGCCCUGCAAACACUAUCUGUUUCCCCUUCUUACGAUCCUUUUCCACCUGAAAUUCAAUCUAGCUGCUAUGAGCAUGUUUGUCCAGACCUAAAGUUAUUUCUACCUUCUGAAAAAUGUUUGUUUGUGUAAUAAGUUUGAAAUUUGACUUAAAGUUAAAAAUAAGGCAGAAACUGACUUUAAAUCAGAAGUUAGUUUGAUGUAAUUUUUCCAGUGACUAAAUUUUUAAAAGUUUUUUUUUAUAAAAGUCAGUCAUAAGUCAUAAAUCACUUUUAUUUUUAUUAUUACAUUUUUAAUAACCAAUAAGUCAUUAAUAAGUCAAAAUUAUCCAUAAAUAUAUUUUCAGCUUAUCAAGUUAAGUCAAGUCAGUAACAAUUUUAUGCUCAUCCAAACAUACUCUAUAUUUAGUACUGUCUUGCUAAGUUGCGUAUAAUUGCAGCAUUACGCAGGUCAAGCAAGUCAACUAACAGUUUUUUCUUUUCUUUUUGCGAUAUCAAGAUGGCGCGAUAAGGCCAGAAGCAGUGACAAUUUUGCAGUGGCCUCAACUAGGAAUGAAUUAUAAGUAAAGAAAAGGCAUACUGAAUUAAGUUACCUCAGUUCUGAGUGUUCUGAUAAUGAUCUCGAAUUUUUCAGCAAAUGCAGCAUUCACCUUAGCAGUCUCAUUGUUGCCGAUGCUUCUCAUGGACCGGAACAUUUGAAGAUCAAUAUUUUUUUCUCCGAAGGAAUUAUUGUUGAAGUAGUCAUUAACGGUCCAUGAACCAGCAAAUGCAUAGACAACAUCAGGUGAGCCGCUUAGUUUGUCGCGACAAUAAUGUUUCCCUGACAGCCUGUGAGCUUUCGUCGAUGCAGACCAGGCUCGCUUGAUGAAUUCAUCCGACACGCCUAUCUCCUUGAGCCUGUGAUCCUCCAUUUUUACUACAGAGCUCCUCUGUUUUGCAAGAACCAGAUUCUUUGUUUUUAUGAUACUUUAGUUCUGCUAAUUGAUCAUAUGAAUGGAACUGAUCACUUUUUUAUUACCACAUUGCCCUUGCUGCUAUUGUGUGAGAUGUGAAAUUGGUGGUCAAUUUGGUCAUUGAACAAGUCUACUUGACUUGGUUGUACACAUUGAGAGUGAUUGGGUGAAGGAAAGUAACAAGAAAAUGCCAUCCAAGUUCUGGUGUUAAUAUUCUAAGUUGACUUGGCUCCACUCUCUUUACUUGUCUGUAAGUCCUUUGUAUUAGAUUCUCUGCUGCUACUUCUUUGUCUAUUUUUCUUUAACAAGGGUUAUUUUUUAUAGUUACUGACUUACUGUGAAAAUUUUCUGAAUCCUUAAGUAAAGGGUUUGUUUGAUUGUUUCACGCUCCGAGAUAUCUCUGAUCCUGUUUUUUCAUUUAAACCCUACUUUUUUCCAUAUUUGGAAGUGCCCAACAAUACGGAAUUGUUUUUGAACUCCUAUUUCUUUUGCAGAGUUGAAUGUUAAUUUUUUUUUUAUCAAAAAGAAGCCUUACUUUUCGUAAGCCAGCUAUAUAUAUGUGCAUGUUUUGGGAAAAAAAAAUACUCAUGAUUGACUUAUAAGUCAGAAUCGACUUGUUUGUACCAAUCGUGUACAAAAUUUCUAAUUCAGUCUUAAUUUAUAAAUCAAGAAGUUGAAAAUAGUAGAUUUUUUUAUUGAUUUUUUUAUAAAAAUAAUUACUACAAAAAUACUAUGAUCAUUUGAAAUAAUAGUUUAUAUUUUUUGUUAUUAUAUUUACAAUAUUUAUAAUUUACUAUAUAUAUCAAAAUUUAUAUUUCGCAACCACUCACUUACAAAUGAACUUCACUUCACUUGUAUUCACAAAUGACAAACCAUUCCAAAGCUCUCUUCUAAAAGUCGGUGAUCAAUCACGAUUAGUCACCGAUUAAUCCCUGUUUCGUAACUCGUCGAACUGAUUAAAUCUCCGAUUAAUUACUGAUUAAUCUGAUUAAUUCCCGAUCAAUUCAAUUAAUCACCGAUUAAUCUAUGUUCCGUGACUUCACCGAUUAAGUCCGAUUCCAGCUUUUUACAACACUAUCGAAAGCAUGAAUAACAAAUGGACCCCUUUUACUUGGAUCACAUAAGUCUCAAAUUCCCCCCUUAUUCGGCCUCAAAAGCCCAGUAUCAGUUGAAUCACAUCUGGCCCCAGUCCGAUUAUAACCCUUUAAGCAUGAUAUCUAACUCACAUCGUUGACAUGAAUUUAGCCUAUAAUAUAUAUGCUUCCCAAAUUAAUUACACCGUUAGAAUUUGAAAUAAGAUUUGAGAUGGGGGAGAAAACUUUAUUCGAAUAUAAGUUAGGCAUGAUAAUAUUGAUAUUUGCUCGGAAUUUUGAUUCCUGGGUUUAUUUACUUUUGCAUUUGAAACUAUUACGAAUUCUUCGUUUGAUUAUCCUUAAUUCAUGUACAGUAAUAUUUAUUAUGAUCAAUUCAUUUAAAGUUAAAAUAUUUGCUAGUUGAUUGUUGUAAUAAAUUAUUUUAUUGUAUUUUAAAAUGAAAAGAUAUUAAAACAUAUUUCUCAUAUGCAUACCGAAGGGUCAUAAUCCAUCGACUUUAAAUUCAUUUCAAAAUUUUUAUUUCUUAACAAUUUAAAACCGUUUAUAAUUUAUUGAGAACAAUUGGUUGUAAAGGAACCACACUAGGGACUUUGUCAAAUAUAUUGUAAUUCGUAAAUUACUACGUCUAAUUAAAAUUUAAUUUUCUAUCUCGUUUAAUCAUAUAUGGCUUUUCUUUGCUAUUCGACACAUAUUUUAUUGCAUUUAUAAAAUAUAAUUAGGAAAAUUAAAUUAUAGGUCCCUGAACUGUUGACGUUUUAUUGUCUAGGUCCCUGAACUAAAGAUUCUGUAUUUUAGGUCACUUAACUUUUCCGUUUUCUGAUUUAAGUCCUUCUGUCAAAAAGAUUCGAACGGUGUUAACUAGGGUUCCUCCUGAAUUUCAUACAGAUCAAAAUAAUUUUGAAAGUGUUAGUGAUAUUCAAACUCAAAUUUCAAGUAGUCAGAUUGAAACUUGAGUCUGUAGCAACACUCAUAUGACACCAAUUUUCACAAACCAGGUCGAAUUCAAAAUUUUAUAAAUUUAGGUCUCUAAAUUCGAUGAAGAACCUUAAAUUUAUGGUCUAAUUCAAGUUUCAAUUCGACUACUUGAACUUUGAAUUUGGAUAUCACUAACACCUUCAAAAUUGUUUUGAUCUGUAUGAAACUCAUGAAUCCUUGUUAACACCGUUGGAAUCAUUUUGACGGAAAGACUUAUAUCAAAAAACGGAAAAAUUAAGUGAACUAAAAUACAAAAUCUUUAGUUCAGGACGACAAUAAAAACGUCAAUAGUUCAUAAACCUAUAAUUUAAUUUUUCCAAUAUAAUUUUAUAAUCUAUUUUUUAUUAAAAAUAUUUUUAAAAUAAAUAACAUAACAUUAAAAUGCGUGUAUCGUCCGGUUCCCCGCACUAUAGUGGGUGUUUGUUUCCCGCUUUUAAGCCGGGCUUUUGGUUUAUAAGUUAGAAGCACUUAUUUCGUACUGUUUGUGUAAAAAGUCAAGAAGCACUUAUAAUAAGCUAGGAAUGCUAGCUUUUGUUUCAGAGCUUCUGCUUAUUUCCCAAACACUUUAAUCACUUAUAAGUCUUAAUUUGCUUCUAACUUCUACUCCACUUUUUUAUUUUAAGAAAGAAGCACUUAUUUUAAACUCACCCAAACGGCCCCAUAGUUUACUGACGGACACGAGAAAAAUAGCUUAAAAAUUGUAAAACCGGAAGGUGUUCGAAAGCAAAAAGGAGAGGGGAGAUGGAAGAAGAGAAAGCGGCAGCUUACUACGACGAGCUGACUCGUAAGGGCCAAGGCGCUGCCCGUUUCAAACAGGGCCUCGGCUUCUCCUCUAACGACGCCGUUUCUUCCCAUACUAACAAGCUCUCAUUUGUUAAAGCAGGAGCUUCUUCCACAGGCCCUGACAACAACAACAACAACACGUCUCAAUCUCAAUUGGAUAAAGAAGCUCAGCUCAAGUCAAUUCAGCAAAAACUCUCUAAAUCAAAAUCCAAUCAUUCAUCAGAGAGAGAUCGAGAUAGGGAGAGAGAUAGAGAGAGGGAGAGACGUCGUAGUCGGAGUCCGAGGAGAGAUCACCGGAGUAGAGAUAGGGAGAGAGAUAGAGAUAGAGACAGAGACAGAGAGAGGGAGAGAGAUAGAGACAGAGGGAGAGAUAGAGAGAGGGAGAGAGAUAGAGAUAGAGAUAGGGAGAGAGAUAGAGAGAGGGAGAGGGAGAGGGAUACUGGCAAGGAAAGAGAUAGAGAGAGGAGGAAGAGGAGUUUAUCGCCUCGCGAUAAGAGGAAAUCAAACAAGGAUGGAAUUGAUUAUGCUAAACUUAUUCAUGGUUACGAAAAAAUGGUACUAUUUAUUUACCCCCUUCUGCUACAUCUUUGAUUCGAGUUUUAGCUAUCAUUACUUUAUAUUAUUCCACCAUGAUAAUGGCAUUGUAUUGGAUCAUUAAUUGAUAGGAUGCAUCAUAAUCAGCAAUUAUAUCGCUGAGUACUGAUCAAUUACUAUAGAUAUUGAAAAUUAGAUUGUGGGUAUACUAUACGCCUAUGCAAAUUGUAGGAAUGAGUUAGUAUAAUUUUGACAAGAUGUAAGCUCCCUACUAUCAAUGUCUUUGAUGCUAGUGUCUCAUGUUCACUACCUUAGUUGCACAACAGCCUCUGUUUCAGCUAAAACGUUGGCCGUCAAAAUGACAUAAGUUAAAGGAAAAGGCGAGAACUAGUUUUACAUUGCUUUGCUAAAGUGGUCUUGGCUACAAUUGUUAUAUCUGAUUUUAUUUUUUUUCCUUUGCCUCAUAAUUUGAACCUAAAGCUGGGUAUGUAAAAAGAAGUUGGACCUUAGUUUUGCUUUACCUUUACCAAAAAGCACAGAGGUAGUACGUGUCAUAUUGAUACAAGGAGUACACAGGGAGUCGAAGUUUUUGAAAUGUGAUUUUUUUUUGUUUGCUAAUAAAACGUGGCUUCCUUAGGCUAAAGUGAUAAACACUUGCAAAAUUCCACAAUCAUUUCUCAAGUGUCGGUUGUUUAUUGGUUGUUCCUUAAUAGUAUUUUUAAUUGUCAAUGUCAGGAUAAGAUUUAGGGUUUGUGCAGUUUCCUUGUUUUUAGUAAGCUUGUUGUGAUUGUCUACCUUAAUUUCAUAUGAUUUUACUAUUGAUUUAUGAAUAUAAGGUAUUUAAUAGUUUCACUUGGAUUUAGUAUUGUAAGCGCUUGACAGGAAGAUGCAUAAAUUGUAAUAUCAUGCUCUUUCUUUGACAGUUGAUUCUUACAAAAUUUUUGUUUUGGUGAGUAGCAAUUGUGAUGGUGAAGUUAAGUAUGUAUAUCUUUGUUUGCACAUUAGUUGUGACUUGUGAGCCGUGUUUGCUCCGCUGCUUUUUGUCAGUAUCCAUCAGCACUGAUAAAAACCAUUAUAUUUUGGCAACAGUCCCCUGCUGAGAGAGUCAAGGAGAAGAUGAAGCUUCAGCUAUCUGAAACUGGUAUUGAUACUUUAUCAUAAAAUGUAAUUAGUCAUAUAGUAUGAUAUAUAUCAUGAUAUAUCUGAAUUCCUUAUAGAUAACUGUAUAUGUUGUAUACCAACUCAUUGACAUGCUGAACUGAGAUUUUAAUGGUAAAAGAAAUAUAACGUUAAAAUUUGCAUCUAUACAAGGAACCCCCACAUGUUUACUAUCUAAAGGCUGUACCUAAGCAGUAGCAUAUCAGUCUUGAGCAAAAACUAAUCUACGUAUAUUACUAGUGCUGUUAUCAGUCUUUAACCAACUAUUUUGCAUUUUCAAUGCAUGUACUAUACAUUUUUUUUUGUUUACAGUGUUUGUGCUACUAAUUGGCCAUUUGGGAUGCAAUUUCACUGGAAUCAUUAGAUGUCCUUAUAUAUUUAUAUCAGCUUUACUCCAAUUAUUGUGCAUCUGUAGUCUGUAGUUUCAUACAUAAAUAAUUGUCUAUGCUUCCAGCCUUUUACUCCUUCAUGUAUUGUUUCGUAUAGAUGUUAAUGCGAUAAUGCUCGACUUACGUGCAGCUAAAAAGGAUGCAACAAAUGGCAAGGGUCCCGGAUGGGAACGCUUUGAUUUUGACAAGGAUGCACCUCUUGAUGAUGAGGAGAUCGAAGGUUAAUAAUGCUAUUCAUUAUGUAAUAUAUGAGUGUUAAUAUAAUAUUUUUAUAUAUCUAAUCACAUGAAGUAUGUUUCAAGUGGCUCUAGUCGCGUGAAUGCAUAGUAACUAAAGUAAACUUUGCACUAGUAUGCUGGUCCAAAGCGACGGUGUCUUUGCAGUUCUUAACUUAUUUUGGUCUUCAAAAAUUAUUUUGUAGUUGACAAGUUUUUUAUAACUUGUGGAAUAGCAUAUAGUUUAGUUGCAUUAGAUAUUAUGCGGAUCAUUGAUGACUUGCGCAUCCCAUGUUGCCAAGCUGUUGAAAGGAAACUAGGAAGUAGAAUUUGCCAGUUGCUGAUAUAAAUAAUUUUUGUUUAUUUACCUCGUUAAAAUGCACACUUUUACUGUUAAUAAGUAAUAAUCCAUUGUAGAACUUAGUUAGCUCUAGUUUGUUAGGGAAGUGGACUGAGUUGAGUUUCUUCAAUCACAGCUGCAGAUGAUGACAAGGAGUUGGUUAAGCACAUAGGUCAAAGCUUUCGAUUCUCCACAGUUGAGGUAUUGCUUAUUCAAUCCAUUAUCAGAUGUCAGCCAGUUUAGUGUUUUCCAUUUGUGUUAUAUUAACAUCUUUUUGUACAGACAAAAAAUGAGGAAAAACUCAAGGCCGCUCAUGAUGAGGCCAUGUUUGGAGCUCCGACUUUUGCACCAGCAGUCGGUACAGACACUGAGGUGGAAGAGGAGGAAGACAAAAGGGAAAACCCUGUGAGUCUUAUAAGUGACCAGGUGAGAAAAUUUAUGCAUCUUGUAGUUGCUAUUUAAAAUUGCGCCACUCCAUGUUUUUAAGGACUUUCAUGUUUCUUACACCAGGUUCUGGCCAUGCAACAAGGUUCUUGGAGAGAUCGUGCUCGUAAAGCUUGAGUGGACUAGUAUGUAGCUAGUCUGAUGUCUCUGCACUGGAUUGAUAAAUUGAUUAGGAAGGAGUUCAAAAGGUCCAAUUAACCUGAUUAGCCCCCUUGCCUACCAUGUAAUUGUAGUUUUGUUUAAUAGCAGCAGGUGACUAGUGUCUUACUGAAUUUGUAUAAUAAUUUUAAAAUUUUGACCAGAAAGCAGAAGGCACGUAUAUUAAUAUAUUUUUUUUCUGAAACAGUGCUCAGUUGUAUAAAAUCUUUAAAGAUGGAUGUAAUCUGUUAGCUGGAUUUGUUGAUAAUUGACACCGGAAAGGUGAACAUUAAGUUUUUGAAAACUUGAAGUUCUUAGAGUUUAUUGCAAAACGCACCCCUUUGGAUUUUCGAAAAAGCAUUUACGGCCUAUACUUUACAUAAUUGCACUUUGCAACCCGCUGGUUCGUUUGACGUGUCACUUUGCAUCCCUUCCGUUAAUUUUGACGGUUAACGUUAAAAUUCUCAGGGGUAGUUUGGGAUUUUUUAAAAAAUUAAUUUAUAACCAGAUUUUAUUUAAUUUUUUUAACCCUCUAAAUGAUAUUUUUUGAAAAAUCUUAAAGAACGAAAGUUGUAGAUAAUGAAAUGAUCCUUUUAAACAAUAAAGUCAAAAUUAUUGAAAUCUUUUUUGUAAUUGUUUAAUACAUUACAAAAAAUGGAGAUCUUGUAAAAAUUCGUGAUAAAUUCAAUUAAUUUCGGAUUUCGAUGAUUUUUGAUGAUUCGGACAACACUUUAAAUUGCCCAUAACUUUCGAAUUUUAUUUUGAACUUGGAAUUAAAUAAAAUCUACUUUAAUUGAAUUUUAAAAUAAAAAAUGAGUUGUAAACAUUAUUUCGAAAAUAUUUCGAAACAUAAUAUGAGGAAACAACAUGAACGAAAGUUAUAGGCAAUUGAAAGAGUUUUCCGAAUCAUCAAAAAUCAUCGAAAUCCGAAAUUAAUAAAAUUUAUUACAAAUUUUUACAAGAUCUUUAUUUUUUGUAAUGUAUUAAACAAUUACAAAAAAGAUUUCAAUAAUUCUGAAUUUCAUUGUUUUAAAAGGAUCUUUUCAUUAUCUACAACUUUCGUUCUUUAAGAUUUUUCAAAAAAUAACAUUUAGAGGGUUAAAAAAAUUAAAUAAAAUCUGGUAUAAAUUAAUUUUUUAAACAAUCCCAAACUACCCUGAGAAUUUAACGUUAACAGUCAAAAUUAACGGAAAGAGAGCAACGUGAAGCGCCAAAUGAACCAGCGGGUUGCAAAUUGCAAUUAUGUAAAGUAUAGGCUGUAAAUGCUUUUUCGGAAAUCCAAACGGAUGCGUUUUGCAAUAAACUCAAGUUCUUACUGAUAUGUCAAGAGUUUAAGACCCCUAGUUCCUUAAAAGGCUAGAAGUGUGAUGAUGAUAGCGAGGAGAGAAACAUAUGAAACUUCCUGUAUAUAGUAAGCAGAAGAGGAAAAAAUGCUGUCAACUUCUGCAGAGUUGCAUUAAAAAAGGUUUCACAUCUUUUGCCAUCCAGCUGUUUCUGAAUUUAUUAAACCGGGUAACAUGAAAUAGCCUUUGUUAAAAGACUUGGGUUGCAGAAAUUGAGAAUUAAAAAUAGGGAUAAAUAUCAAGUUGGUGACUCGUUUUGUCCAAAUGUAUCAAUUGAGUGACUGAUUUCUAAAUUGACUCAAAUUAGACACUCAUUCGAAAAAUUUGUAUCAAAAAUAUUACUCUAUCGUUAGUCAAAAUUUUGAAAAUAUUAUAUAUUGAGUUUCACACAUUUUUUAUGAAUGGUAUUACAUCCAAAUGAAAGAUUCCGAGUCCUACUAUUUUUGCUAAUAUUUUUAGAUUUUUAAAAUUUUAUCAACUAUUUAUUUUUAAUUUUUUGAUUGUUUUAUUUGAUUUAAAUAAAAAUAAAUAGGAGAUAAAUUUUUAAAAAUCUAAAAAGAUUAUCUAAAAUACUAGAACUCGGAAUCUUUCAUUUAGAUGUAAUACCAUUCAUAAAAAAUGUGCGAAACUCAAUAUAUAGUACUUUCAAAAUUUCGACUAACGAUAGAGUGAUAUUUUUGAUACAAAUUUUUUUAAUGAGUGGCUCAUUUGAGUCAAUUUAGGAAUCAGUCACUCAAUUGAUACAUUUGGACGAAACGAGUCACCAACUUGAUAUUUAUCCCAUUAAAAAUAUCCGGUUGACUUAUUUAUUCAGGAUAUAUUGAAAUUUUUUCAAUAAAUCAAAGAUUUUUAGUCAAAUCGAGGUGUAAUUUAGUCGGUAAAUAUUUUUUAAAGAUUGAUCGAAAAUAUUAAAUAAUUGAGGAUUUUUAAAACGCAAAAUGUAGCAAGUAAACAUAGAUAUAGCCUAUAUGGCAAGAAAAAAAUGGAGAUAAUAUACUACUUGCUCGAAUUGUAGUCAUUAUAGAAAUCGGGGAUUGGAACGACAACCUGAAAUUAUAAUCGUUAUAGAAAUCGGGAAUUGGAACAACUAAUCCGUUAAUCUACCAAUUCAGAAUUUAUAGCUGAUUUAUCGGGGAUUUUAAUCAAAUUGACAAUAAUAUUUUUUAAGAAUUAAUCGAAAAUUUUUAGAACACCGGAAAUAUACAAGUAUUUUUAGCAGUACUGUGCUGACUGCUGUCACAGCCACCUAUCUGACUAAUCCCUCGUGUCGUUCACCAUCUUUUAAUAUAUGACAGGUGUGGGAGAAACACCACAGAGCAAAAUUAUGAGUACAAUUCAGCACAACAAUGGUAGAAUGAAAAAUUCAAGUUUGAGAAUUGAGCUCCUCUCAAUGAAUAAAAUAUUGCCAAUAUAUAUCUCAGGAUUCCUUAGCUUCAAUUACAAUCAACUGACAACUUCUAUAGCAAAAUUUUCCAGCAGAGUACUGACAUUCCCUAAUAGGGAGAAUUCUCCCAUGCUAUCUCAUAAAAUAUAUUAUAAAACUCGUUUAGCCUAUUCAGCUAAGUUUCUUUCUUGCAUUCAAGCCUGUCACAAUAGGACAAACGAUAACGUACAACUUUGGAAUGAAAAGGAGAUGGUCACAUCAGAUAUCUAAGUUUUCCCUCGAAUUUCAUUGCCACGGGCUAACCGGAUGUGAAUAAGCUGCUUCAUGGUAAGAUGACAUUUAUUGAGGGAAUUGCUCAACAUCCAUAGCAGGUAAACCAGAUUGUUCCAAUCUUAUCCCUCUCAGUAAACUUUUCGCUUGUUCCUUCUCCUGCAAUAGUGCAAGUAGAAGUAUAGAUAAAUUUAAUAUUUUUGUAUUUUAUAACAAACAUGCAAGAACUCCAAGUAAAAGGUCGUACUAGCAAUUAAUGUUUCCAGAAAGAAAGGUGAUGCAACUUACAGGGCCAGUAUAGUCAAGCAGACGGGUACAAUACAUUGAUGCUUCUUCAAACCUCUUUUGAUCUUUGCAAUGCUGACCAAGAAACAACAAAGCUUCUACCAUAUUUGGUCCUUCCCUUUCUUCGUCUUCCAUCCUUUCCAAAUCCUUUCUGUAAUAAAAUGCUGCCUCUUCAAAACGCCCAAGCUCCUUGUGCAGCUUUGCUAGCUGGUGAAGAGCAAUUGCUUCCCGGUCAUUGCAGUUUGAUGCCCUCCUGUAACACUUUAUAGCCUCCUCAGUCAUAUUAAGCUGUUCUGUUUCAUAACACUGAGCCAUGGCAAUCCACAACCUGGAAUCAUUAGGCUGCAAAAACACUGAUUUUCUAAAGUAAUGAAGGGCAUAAAACGGCAUCCCCAUCAUUUCAUAUGCUUGUCCUAAUCCAUACCAUGCUCGAUAAUCACAUGGAUUGAUAUCUACAGCUCGCCGAUAUGCAUCAAUAGCGGCGGGGGUGUUUUUCAUCUCAACAUACUCAUGUCCCAUUAGUGUCCAAGCUGAUAAAUAUUUUUUAUUCAAUUUUAGUGCUCUCCUGAAAUACAUGACUGACUUCUCAUGCUGCCCUUUUAAACUGUAGUAAUUACCAAUAAUGCAGCAUGAUUCCGGCCUGUACUUAUCUGUCAUAAAUACUCUGUGGGCAAGAUAACUUAGGGCUGAAUAGCAUUCUUUUGCAUACAGCACAUUAGAAUACAUAUCCAUAUCUUCCACCCGGUAAGGAUCAUUUCUUAAAAGCUCUUCAAAUAUGACUUCUACUUGUUCAAAUUCCCUCAAAUUGUACUGGGCUUUAGCAAUUUGAGCAUGGAUGUAGUUGCUAGAGACAAAAGUACCUUGCAAAUACUCGUACUUUGCCAAGGAUUCAUUAUGCAUUCGGAGUUCAUGGUAGGCACUGGCAAGAAAGAAGUCCUUCAUCCAAUGGUUACUGAGAUUAAGGCUGUUCAAUGUAUCAGCUGUAGUGCAUAAACUCUGCAGCUCAGACCAAGCAUUCCAGUUCCAAGGGUAGCUAUUUACAGACUCCACAAGUACAGUACAUGCAAGAUUAUCAUUGCCUUUUUCUUUGAGAACAAGACCAUACAGGUACAGACCAAAGGAAUCAAUUGAACCAUUUUUCCGAAGCACAGACAACUCCCUCUCAAGUGAAACGAGUUCCUGGUUUGAAGCUUCAGUUUUGCCCAGGGGUCCUUCAAGCUCAAUAAUUUCUUCUUCUUUUCUCUUUUCUCCAGCCUGUGUAAGACAAAUAGCAUACGUACCAAUUACAUUCAGUGCUUUGUCAACUAUUAUUAUAAUUCAUGACUUUAGUUGACAACUCAUUAGAGUCUAAUUUGCGCUAGCUCUUCACAUUCUAUCAUCACGGAUUUGGCAAGAGACUCCGUUGGAUUGGUGGCGGUUAGUGUAUUGACGGUUGUUGCCAAACAUCGCAGUUUGAUAUCUCCGUUUCACAUCAUUGUCACCCAUCAUCGACAAACAAAAACUGUUUAGGUAAGUCCCAUGUGAAGAAGGCCAUGGGCUAAGGUAUCUUAAUAUUUAUAUCACACACUAUAUUAUUUAUUGUGCACUAAGCCGGGGGUCUUCACGGAAACAGUCUCUCUGCCUUAAGGGCAGGGGCAAGGCUGCGUACAUCUUACCCUCCUCAGACCCUGCUCUAAGCGGGAUAUACUGAGUAUGUUUAGUUUGGUUUGGUUUCUUCACAUUCUAUCAAAACUAUGACAUCAAUCAAUAACAUUUCACAUGUUUAAUCCUAUUGAUAACCUUGAGCAAAAUACAGAGAUGUUGAUGAUUAAGCGUGGACUUGAAAGCAGUGUCAUUAAAGGCAAAAAGCGCACAUAUUAAUUAAUAUAAAUUUUUAUAUAUUAAGAUAAUCGGACAUGCUGAAUACUAUCUAUAAACUCAAAAAAAUGAAAAUUAGAUAAAUAAAAUAGGCUCAUGUGUCAGUACUAGAUAUAUUUAGAAGUGGAUAAAAUGCAUUGGCCAUUCCUGAAUUGCAUUGAAUAUUUGUAGCCAUUAAGAAGUCUUGUACCGGUGCUUUGUUAGGAUUUGUGUUGGAUGAUUGAGGCGGCUAGGUUUUUUGGAGUGUAUAUAUGACUAAAAAUCUAGUAAGUAUGAUUUACUAGGCUUUUAAACAAGGCCCAAUAAAACAAAAUAUUGACCAGCCUAUUAAAAUUAUGCCCAGAUCUAAUAAAAACACCCAUUCACACAAAAGCAGGCUUUUUCUAGAUUUUUUGCGCUUUGAACUUCAGCAUUUAGCGCGCAUAAAGCGGGGCUUUUGAAUAUGCUCUGCACUUCGGAAAAGCAAAGCCGAAUAGGUUCGCUUUGAGCUUAAGCGGAAGUUUAAGCACGCUUUUGAUAACCAUGCUUGAAAAAACACAGAACUAAUUAUAUACAAACUCUUCUAAUCAGCACUUGUUUUUGGAAUCCAUGCAUUUAUGACUAUUUCAUCAAAUUAUAUAAAUGAACAACCUUCAGAUAAACCAAAGUGAGUGCCUUUGCAUUGAAAGGCCAGGAACAACAAAUAGUAUACACGACAUCCAGAGAGGCAAAAUGCAAUUUGUGCAGUUGACAUAUCUAUUUACUCAGCUAGGCAACGAACACAAUAUAUACUCUAUUAAUGCAAGUGAAAAGUAACCACAAUAUCCAUGGGCCUCAUUUUUUAAUUUCACUUGUCGACGGGCAAAAAUUUCAUAUUCAAUUGACUAUUAUGAUUCAAAUCUUAUAUAAUAUAUACAUAUAUAUAUGUAUGUAUUCCAAUAGAAGAAAAAAAGAUAAACCUUUUAAGUUGCUCGCCAUCCAGCCACAUAUAUCAUGAAAAAGAUUCUUCAUAUAUAGGAUAUAAUUCAAUUUUCAUGGCAUCACUCAAUCGAAUCAACAAUCAAUUGCUCAACAUAAUUAAAGUUGUGAAAGUAUAAAGAAACCAAGUAAAGAGCAUACAUAUAGGACAUAAUUCAAUUCGCAUGGCAAAAGUCAAUUAAAUCAACAAUCAACAGCUCAACAUAAUUUAAGUUGUAAAAGUAGAAACAAACCAAGUAAAGAGCGUAACAUCUCAAGAAAAAUGCCUUCUUCCCAGUCUGGUCACGGAGCACAUGAGCAGCACGCCUAUACUCCCUACAAUCAAAAUAAGACUUGGCCAGAAGGUAAAAAUCAUUGUCCAUCUCCUCAUUGUCUUCCUCUGGCACCGGAGUAGAAAUAUAAGAAAUCCCAGCAGCAGGAGUGGAAGUUGACUCAUUUGUCCGAUACCGUCUCCUAAUACUAGAACUUCCUCUCUGGAAUCUAGUAUGAGAUGGGGUGUUCUUUGUAUUUGAUGGGUCAAUCUCAAUCCCCAUCAACUGUUCAGCUGCCCUGUAAUCAAGAAACACACACACACACACACACAUGACACAUACAUCUCAAGAUUUGUUCAAAACCCAUCAAAAUUGAAUCUUUACUAUAUGGGCACACACAAAAAAUUGAAUAUAACCUCGGUAUAACCAAAACCCAAGUAAUUUCAAGAUUGAAUCUUUACUAAAUGGGCACUCACAAAAAAAUAAAUAUUAUUGCAAUGCAAGCAAAACCCAAGUAAUCCUAAUACUUGUUUAAAACUCACCAAUAUUGAAUCUCUGCUAUGGGCACUCACAAAAAUUGAAUAUCAAUGCAAUAUAAGCAAAACCCAUGCCAUUACAAGAUUUGCUUAAAGACCAUCAAGAUUAAAUCUUUGCCAAAUGGGUGUCAAUAAAAACUGAAUAUUAAUGUAAUGCAAGCAAAACCCAUGUCGAAUCAAGAAUCAAUUAUGAAAAAAAUCAAAAAUUUGAAAUUAGGGUUUAUGAGAUUGGGUACCAUUUGGAGGCAGAAUAGAGACAACGAUCGCUUAGAUGACGAAUUGCAGUUCGGAGCUCCGCUCUACAACUCUCCUUUGUACCCAUUAUUAAUCAACCCUUAACUCUCAACUCUCUGCUUGUUGUUUAUACUCUGGCCAAAGUAUAUAUGUAUGUGAAGUGGUGUUUAUAUUUAAGCUGUGUACUCUUUAAGCGUAUGUGUUUGUGAGUUUACUGUUAAGAAGAAAUUUCAAAAUUUUCAAAUGACAAUGUUGCGGCGCGUCCGCGCUUGGCCUGAUUUAUUAUCCCGAUAAUCAAUUUGGUUCCGAGAUAUAAGAAAUAACUUGUUAUCUCAAAAGAUAUCGUACAAUCAAAUUAAUUUAUGAUAAUUUUUAAAUUCACCAGUAAGAUAAAUCUGAAAUUCAUGCAAUUUGUUAGCAUUAUCAUACUUAUCAACCAUCCAUAAAUUAGGAUUAAUGAACUAAAUUAAUUUUGAUCAUUAUAUAUUGAACCAAAAUAAAAAGCUCAACCAUCUAUAAAUUAGGAUUAAUCAACCAACUUAAUUUUUAUCAUUAUAUAUUGAACCAAAACAAAACCGUCAUGAUUAUCGAAAGAUAGUAAAAAAUCAUAAGAAAUCUUGUAUUAGUUACUUCUAUUAGAAAACAAGCAGGUGUAAUGCCUACCCGAUGAUAAAAUUUGUUGACACGAGGAAGACCAUAUUUUAGUAAAAUGUUUUAAUUUUUUGCCAAACAAUGAAUUAUUAUUAAUAAAAUAAAUAUGUGACGACUAUUAACGUAUUUUAAUGGCAAGCCGGCGACCAUUGCAAAAGCUCCAAAGCCUCGAGAGACUCUGAAUGGCGGGGCUAUUGUUUAUUGGGCUACUCUUUGACAAGAGCCCAAAUCAUACUCUCUCGGGCUACUAUUAAAUGGGCCACGCUUGAGCUGAAGCCCAGAUCAUUCUCUCCCUCACACACAAAUGAACUUUGGAGAGUGUUUUUAUUGGGAUUUUGAAUGAAUUUACUUUUGCAAUCAUAAAAUCCGAGAAUAUUCGAUUGAGAUUAUUUAGAAUCUAUUAAAAUUAUAGAGUAUUUUAUUGAAAUUUUAAAUCAUGCUACAAAAUCUGAUGGUAUUGAAUCAGGAUUUUUAAUUAUAUUUUAAAAUCUGAUGGUAUUCAAUUGAGAUUAUUUAAAAUCCAUUGAAAUAUGAUGGUAUUCAAAUUCUGAUGGAUUUUUUUGAAUUUCAUAAAAUGAUGAAUUUUGUGGCAUUUCUCGGUGUGUUUUAAGUUUUUUGAAAUCCCACCAGAAUUCAUGAUAUUUUGAAGCAUUGUUUUUAAAUUCUAAAGAAUCCAUAUCAACUCUACGACAUUUUAUGAAAAAUCCGCACAAAAUCAAAAUCUCAUACAAUCCAUUAAAAUCCAUACAUUGAAAAUAAUUCAUUAAAAUCUCAAUCCAAUACAUCUCCUUAUUUGUGUUUUCAUAUUAUCAAAUAUAAAAAACUUAGUUUGUUUUUUCAUAGUAUCAAAUGUUUAUAUUUGGACUUAUUAACAUUAAGUGUGUAUUUGUAAUAGCUACAAUUAUUCAGGACUUCAAAAUUAUAUUUAAAUAGAGAGGAGGAAGCAUAAAUAUGUUCAAAAUUUGAGCUAAACACAGCCUGACAAGAUCUUAGCAACAAACUUAAAUUCAUACUUACAAAGGCAAAAUCACGUGUACAAGAAGAAGAAGUAAUGAAAUGAAAGAACUCUACAUAGCAUAACUAGAAUCUAGCUAAAGAUCUUUUCAAGAAAAUGGUUAUAUACGCAUGAUGAUUCGAGGAUAUGAACAAGCGUGGUUCAGUUUGAUGCGGUUUUAGUCAUCCGAUUAACUAUUUUUUAUGGGUGGUUUUCUGAUAUUUGUCCUUGAUCCACAUAAACCCACCUUUCACUUUCUUAGCUCCCGUAGAAGCUACCGUCUUUGUUUUCUCCAACCCUUUAGAAGCCACCGCACUUGUACCACUCUUCUGGGAUGUUUUCUGGGAAUAUUCCGGCAAGGGGUCCCACUGAUCAGCCCAUGAUGUUCCAUACGAGUUGUUGUAGUUGUUUCCCAAGUCCAUCCUGACAGAUACUACUGAUACUUGAAGUCUCGACCUCGAACGAGAUACAAUAAUCUUCGAUAUGUGAUCUGUAAAAUGAUCUUCGCACCAGAGAGAUGAGAAUUAUGUAUGCGUUUUUGUUUGUGUAAUUUGAGGAACAGAGUAUUUAUAUAGAGAAAUGACGUGUUUGUUACUUUGUUUAGCGUAUGGAAAGAUAUUACAUGAAGCGUAAGUAAUGAGGUGUAUUACACGGUCAAGAUUCAAUGGCUAAUGAUAGACUUCGGUAGAAUAUUAAACGAAGGGCUGCGCUGACGUGGAUUAAUCCACGUGUAAUAU